Molecule: ribosomal RNA, 733 nt
Filed under: Salmonella enterica
Lineage: Bacteria; Pseudomonadati; Pseudomonadota; Gammaproteobacteria; Enterobacterales; Enterobacteriaceae
Also listed under: 2 other names
Description: partial 23S ribosomal RNA
Rfam family: Bacterial large subunit ribosomal RNA
Source: RNAcentral
AGACCCGAAACCCGGUGAUCUAGCCAUGGGCAGGUUGAAGGUUGGGUAACACUAACUGGAGGACCGAACCGACUAAUGUUGAAAAAUUAGCGGAUGACCUGUGGCUGGGGGUGAAAGGCCAAUCAAACCGGGAGAUAGCUGGUUCUCCCCGAAAGCUAUUUAGGUAGCGCCUCGUGAAUUCAUCUCCGGGGGUAGAGCACUGUUUCGGCUAGGGGGCCAUCCCGGCUUACCAACCCGAUGCAAACUGCGAAUACCGGAGAAUGUUAUCACGGGAGACACACGGCGGGUGCUAACGUCCGUCGUGAAGAGGGAAACAACCCAGACCGCCAGCUAAGGUCCCAAAGUCAUGGUUAAGUGGGAAACGAUGUGGGAAGGCCCAGACAGCCAGGAUGUUGGCUUAGAAGCAGCCAUCAUUUAAAGAAAGCGUAAUAGCUCACUGGUCGAGUCGGCCUGCGCGGAAGAUGUAACGGGGCUAAACCAUGCACCGAAGCUGCGGCAGCGAACGUAUCACCCAAGACAACUUUACGGAGUUGACGAUUGACGGAGCGAAGCGACGUCAAAGCGUUCAUUAAAGUCGAGUUGGCUUAGGGAUACGUUCGUUGGGUAGGGGAGCGUUCUGUAAGCCUGUGAAGGUGUGUCGUGAGGCAUGCUGGAGGUAUCAGAAGUGCGAAUGCUGACAUAAGUAACGAUAAAGCGGGUGAAAAGCCCGCUCGCCGGAAGACCAAGGGUUCCU